Molecule: ribosomal RNA, 455 nt
Filed under: uncultured bacterium
Lineage: Bacteria
Description: bacterial SSU rRNA
Rfam family: Bacterial small subunit ribosomal RNA
Source: RNAcentral
UACGGAAGGCAGCAGUGGGGAAUAUUGCACAAUGGGCGCAAGCCUGAUGCAGCCAUGCCGCGUGUAUGAAGAAGGCCUUCGGGUUGUAAAGUACUUUCAGCGGGGAGGAAGGCGAUGUGGUUAAUAACCGCGUCGAUUGACGUUACCCGCAGAAGAAGCACCGGCUAACUCCGUGCCAGCAGCCGCGGUAAUACGGAGGGUGCAAGCGUUAAUCGGAAUUACUGGGCGUAAAGCGCACGCAGGCGGUCUGUUAAGUCAGAUGUGAAAUCCCCGGGCUUAACCUGGGAACUGCAUUUUGAACUGGCAGGCUUGAGUCUCGUAGAGGGGGUAGAAUUCCAGGUGUAGCGGUGAAAUGCGUAGAGAUCUGGAGGAAUACCGGUGGCGAAGGCGGCCCCUGGGACGAAGACUGACGCUCAGGUGCGAAAGCGUGGGGAGCAAACGAGGAUUAGGAUACC